RNAcentral lists this ribosomal RNA (403 nucleotides) under bacterium. Its description in RNAcentral is "partial 16S ribosomal RNA". It matches the Rfam family "Bacterial small subunit ribosomal RNA", at positions 355 to 776 of the family's 1533-position model. The record is from RNAcentral.
UGGGGAAUAUUGCACAAUGGAGGGAACUCUGAUGCAGCGACGCCGCGUGAACGAAGAAGGCUUUCGAGUCGUAAAGUUCUUUUAUAUGGGAAGAUAAUGACGGUAACAUAAGAAAAAGCCCCGGCUAACUACGUGCCAGCAGCCGCGGUAAUACGUAGGGGGCUAGCGUUGUCCGGAAUCACUGGGCGUAAAGGGUUCGCAGGCGGAAAUGCAAGUCAGGUGUAAAAGGCAGUAGCUUAACUACUGUAAGCAUUUGAAACUGCAUAUCUUGAGAAGAGUAGAGGUAAGUGGAAUUUUUAGUGUAGCGGCGAAAUGCGUAGAUAUUAAAAAGAAUACCGGUGGCGAAGGCGGCUUACUGGGCUCAUUCUGACGCUGAGGAACGAAAGCGUGGGUAGCAAACAGG